CCUACGGGUGGCAGCAGUGAGGAAUAUUGGUCAAUGGACGAGAGCCUGAACCAGCCAAGUAGCGUGAAGGAUGACUGCCCUAGGGGUUGUAAACUUCUUUUAUAUGGGAAUAAAAUGUUCCACGUGUGGCAUUUUGUAUGUACCUUAUGAAUAAGGAUCGGCUAACUCCGUUCCAGCAGCCGCGGUAAUACGGAGGAGCCGAGCGUUAUCCGGAUUUAUUGGGUUUAAAGGGAGCGUAGGUGGAUUGUUAAGGCAGUUGUGAAAGUUUGCGGCUCAACCGUAAAAUUGCAGUUGACACUGGCAGGCGUGAGUACAGUAGAGGUAGGCGGAAUUCGUGGUGUAGCGGUGAAAUGCUUAGAUAUCACGAAGAACUCCGAUUGCGAAGGCAGUUCACUGGACUGCAACUGACACUGAGGCUCGAAAGUGUGGGUAUCAAACAGGAGUAGAUACCCUUGUAGUC
This 460-nucleotide ribosomal RNA is filed under the name uncultured bacterium. RNAcentral's name for it is "partial 16S ribosomal RNA". It matches the Rfam family "Bacterial small subunit ribosomal RNA", at positions 338 to 795 of the family's 1533-position model. The record is from RNAcentral.